GACGAACGCUGGCGGCGUGCUUAACACAUGCAAGUCGAACGGAAAGGCCCUGCUUUUGUGGGGUGCUCGAGUGGCGAACGGGUGAGUAACACGUGAGUAACCUGCCCUUGACUUUGGAAUAACUUCAGGAAACUGGGGCUAAUACCGGAUAGGAGCUCCUGCUGCAUGGUGGGGGUUGGAAAGUUUCGGCGGUUGGGGAUGGACUCGCGGCUUAUCAGCUUGUUGGUGGGGUAGUGGCUUACCAAGGCUUUGACGGGUAGCCGGCCUGAGAGGGUGACCGGCCACAUUGGGACUGAGAUACGGCCCAGACUCCUACGGGAGGCAGCAGUGGGGAAUAUUGCACAAUGGGCGGAAGCCUGAUGCAGCAACGCCGCGUGCGGGAUGACGGCCUUCGGGUUGUAAACCGCUUUCGCCUGUGACGAAGCGUGAGUGACGGUAAUGGGUAAAGAAGCACCGGCUAACUACGUGCCAGCAGCCGCGGUGAUACGUAGGGUGCGAGCGUUGUCCGGAUUUAUUGGGCGUAAAGGGCUCGUAGGUGGUUGAUCGCGUCGGAAGUGUAAUCUUGGGGCUUAACCCUGAGCGUGCUUUCGAUACGGGUUGACUUGAGGAAGGUAGGGGAGAAUGGAAUUCCUGGUGGAGCGGUGGAAUGCGCAGAUAUCAGGAGGAACACCAGUGGCGAAGGCGGUUCUCUGGGCCUUUCCUGACGCUGAGGAGCGAAAGCGUGGGGAGCGAACAGGCUUAGAUACCCUGGUAGUCCACGCUGUAAACGGUGGGUACUAGGUGUGGGGUCCAUUCCACGGGUUCCGUGCCGUAGCUAACGCUUUAAGUACCCCGCCUGGGGAGUACGGCCGCAAGGCUAAGACUCAAAGGAAUUGACGGGGCCCCGCACAAGCGGCGGAGCAUGCGGAUUAAUUCGAUGCAACGCGUAGAACCUUACCUGGGUUUGACAUGGAUCGGGAGUGCUCAGAGAUGGGUGUGCCUCUUUUGGGGUCGGUUCACAGGUGGUGCAUGGCUGUCGUCAGCUCGUGUCGUGAGAUGUUGGGUUAAGUCCCGCAACGAGCGCAACCCUUGUUCACUGUUGCCAGCACGUUAUGGUGGGGACUCAGUGGAGACCGCCGGGGUCAACUCGGAGGAAGGUGGGGAUGACGUCAAGUCAUCAUGCCCCUUAUGUCCAGGGCUUCACGCAUGCUACAAUGGCUGGUACAGAGAGUGGCGAGCCUGUGAGGGUGAGCGAAUCUCGGAAAGCCGGUCUCAGUUCGGAUUGGGGUCUGCAACUCGACCUCAUGAAGUCGGAGUCGCUAGUAAUCGCAGAUCAGCAACGCUGCGGUGAAUACGUUCCCGGGGCU
RNAcentral lists this ribosomal RNA (1346 nucleotides) under uncultured bacterium. RNAcentral describes it as "partial 16S ribosomal RNA". It matches the Rfam family "Bacterial small subunit ribosomal RNA", at positions 28 to 1381 of the family's 1533-position model. The record is from RNAcentral.